This is a long non-coding RNA of Papaver somniferum (opium poppy), 370 nucleotides long. RefSeq lists it as uncharacterized. NCBI's taxonomy places the organism in Eukaryota, Viridiplantae, Streptophyta, Magnoliopsida, Ranunculales, Papaveraceae. The record is from RefSeq and is a predicted model, not a curated record. The transcript is spliced from 2 exons.
AGACUAUGAAAUACUGUUGAUGGGGGAACUGAAUGUUUCAAAGGUCAUGCAAGGGUCAUUAUUCUGGGUGUGACACAAUGCUUUGAGUGUGCCAUUUGGUUGUUUCCUUCUCAAGUUAAAUUCUCUUUAUGUACAUAAAGCAGAAAUCUCUGGAACAGCUGCUCACUGUAUUGAUUAAGUGGGAUGAGGUACACAGUGGGAAGGUGUUCGAUGCAGAAAUAGUGGUGGUGGUGGUGCAAGUGGUACAUAAUCUUCCCAAACUCAGCACGGAAAUUGUUUGUCUUUCCAAUGUAUACAUAUCACUUCAUUUGCGCAUGAACUGUGCUAAUUUAGAACAGUAUGAAAUAACAUAAGUUGGAUUUUGUAUUAA